This 582-nucleotide ribosomal RNA is filed under the name Catops andalusicus. RNAcentral's name for it is "eukaryotic LSU rRNA". It matches the Rfam family "Eukaryotic large subunit ribosomal RNA", at positions 683 to 1225 of the family's 3401-position model. Lineage: Eukaryota; Metazoa; Arthropoda; Insecta; Coleoptera; Leiodidae. The record is from RNAcentral.
UGCGCAAGUCAUUGGGACAUGCGAAGCCUAAAGGCGCAAUGAAAGUAAAGGUCCGCUCUACGGGGUGGACCUAGGGAGGAUGGGGCACGUUACGGCGUGCCUCUGCACUCCCGGGGCGUCUCGUUCUCAUUGCGAGAUGAGGCGCACCUAGAGCGUACACGCUGGGACCCGAAAGAUGGUGAACUAUGCCUGGUCAGGACGAAGUCAGGGGAAACCCUGAUGGAGGUCCGUAGCGAUUCUGACGUGCAAAUCGAUCGUCGGAACUGGGUAUAGGGGCGAAAGACUAAUCGAACCAUCUAGUAGCUGGUUCCCUCCGAAGUUUCCCUCAGGAUAGCUGGCGCUCGUCUAGCGAGUUUCAUCCGGUAAAGCGAAUGAUUAGAGGCAUUGGGGUCGAAACGGCCUCAACCUAUUCUCAAACUUUAAAUGGGUGAGAUCUCCGGCUUGCUUGAAAGCUGAAGCCGCGAGAACGAAUCAGAGUGCCAAGUGGGCCACUUUUGGUAAGCAGAACUGGCGCUGUGGGAUGAACCAAACGCAGAGUUAAAGCGCCUAAAUCGACGCUUAUGGGAUACCAUGAAAGGCGUU